Molecule: ribosomal RNA, 460 nt
Filed under: uncultured bacterium
Lineage: Bacteria
Description: partial 16S ribosomal RNA
Rfam family: Bacterial small subunit ribosomal RNA
Source: RNAcentral
UCUACGGGUGGCAGCAGUGAGGAAUAUUGGUCAAUGGACGAGAGUCUGAACCAGCCAAGUAGCGUGAAGGAUGACUGCCCUCUGGGUUGUAAACUUCUUUUAUAUUGGAAUAAAACGUUCCACGUGUGGGAUUUUGUAUGUACCAUAUGAAUAAGGAUCGGCUAACUCCGUGCCAGCAGCCGCGGUAAUACGGGGGAUCCGAGCGUUAUCCGUAUUUAUUGGGUUUAAAGGGAGCGUAGGUGGAUUGUUAAGUCAGUUGUGAAAGUUUGCGGCGCAACCGUAAAAUUGCAGUUGAAGCUGGCAGUCUUGAGUACAGUAGAGGUGGGCGGAAUUCGUGGGGUAGCGGUGAAAUGCUUAGAUAUCACGAAGAACUCCGAUUGCGAAGGCAGUUCACUGGACUGCAACUGACACUGAGGCUCGAAAGUGUGGGUAUCAAACAGGAUGAGAUACCCUUGUAGUC